This 460-nucleotide ribosomal RNA is filed under the name uncultured bacterium. RNAcentral's name for it is "partial 16S ribosomal RNA". It matches the Rfam family "Bacterial small subunit ribosomal RNA", at positions 338 to 795 of the family's 1533-position model. The record is from RNAcentral.
CCUACGGGGGGCAGCAGUGAGGAAUAUUGGUCAAUGGACGAGAGUCUGAACCAGCCAAGUAGCGUGAAGGAUGACUGCCCUAUGGGUUGUAAACUUCUUUUAUAUGGGAAUAAAACGUUCCACGUGUGGGAUUUUGUAUGUACCAUAUGAAUAAGGAUCGGCUAACUCCGUGCCAGCAGCCGCGGUAAUACGGAGGAUCCGAGCGUUAUCCGGAUUUAUUGGGUUUAAGGGGAGCGUAGGUGGAUUGUUAAGUCAGUUGUGAAAGUUUGCGGCUCAACCGUAAAAUUGCAGUUGAAACUGGCAGUCUUGAGUACAGUAGAGGUGGACGGAAUUCGUGGUGUAGCGGUGAAAUGCUUAGAUAUCACGAAGAACUCCGAUUGCGAAGGCAGUUCACUGGACUGCAACUGACACUGAGGCUCGAAAGUGUGGGUAUCAAACAGGAUUAGAUACCCUUGUAGUC